Molecule: non-coding RNA, 1167 nt
Organism: Schizosaccharomyces pombe (fission yeast)
Lineage: Eukaryota; Fungi; Ascomycota; Schizosaccharomycetes; Schizosaccharomycetales; Schizosaccharomycetaceae
Source: the annotation of a GenBank genome assembly
UAAAGGGUUAAACGGAAAGAGAUUUCCAAAAUGAAAGUGUUGAACAACAGGAUAUUUGCUCAGCACUUCCACAUCGUACAUUUUUAUCAAUCCCUUGAAAGUAAUUAGCUUAAUAAAUACACACUUCUUAACAUACCUGAUUGACCUUUGACCAUAUAGGAACAGCGGUUAUAUCAUACAAUAUUGGGGAAUGUUCGUAAAAUGGGCCCUUUUUCAUCACGUUUAUAAACUUGAUAGCACUAAAAUACAAGUUGCUAUUAGCUUUUUCAUCCACUAUUUUUUUGUUAAGUAUAGCAUCAGGCUUUAUGAUGGAAGAUGAUGCCUUAUCAGCAAGUUGGGCAGAACCAAAAAUAUAAGGAAUAAAAAAAUGAUCAUCAAGCCCCCAAACUCCAUGUGAGCCAGCAGGCUCUAAGCGAUAAGUUUGAACGAGCUCACGACAAACUUCCAAGUAAACAUGGGUUAUGUACAAGGCGAUAGCUUUAUAAUCUGCGGCAUCUAAAAGUCCCAGCAAGUCCAAGCCCUUAAUAAAACCCAAAAAAUUUAACUCAUGACCCGUACCAAAGUCAAUUCUUUGAGAAUUACCAAACGAUCCCAAAAAAUAGUCCAGUAACUCCACUUUUGCCUUACUCAAUGAAUCAGGAAUAAUGAUGUCCAUAAUUUGAGAGGCGGAGUCACGUAGCUUUUCGUGCCAUAUUCGAAAAGCAGGAUUACCAAACCGAUGCCGACCUGAUGCAGGUGGUACAGUUUUAGUAAUUUCUUUAACUCUACACAAUAUUCGUACUAACUUUUCAACUCUUGUUGAGUAUUCCACAUGAUAAUCGUUCACACCCACAGAUGCAAUAUUGAGACGCUGUAAAAAAUCAAAAAUUCGAUAAUAUGCUUUCGAUUGUCGAAACGCCGUCAUAUCGCUCGCCUCCACGAUUAGUUUUUCGGGAGUUUUAAACUGUGAACUUUCAUCAAACCUUUCAUUUUCAAGCUCUAGUAUUGUUUUCUCAUCUACGACUUGCAUUGUAAAGCAAUAAACAAUGAAUCAAUCAAGUUCGCGUAUACGCCAAUAGAUUUACGACACUCACUAAGUUACAGGCUUUGAUGAACGACUCUUUAUUAAAAAAAACCAGGACCAAGUUAAAGAAUAUAACAGCAACUAUAACAGCAUUUAAAAACAGC